This 694-nucleotide ribosomal RNA is filed under the name Mannheimia haemolytica. Its description in RNAcentral is "partial 23S ribosomal RNA". It matches the Rfam family "Bacterial large subunit ribosomal RNA", at positions 2233 to 2925 of the family's 2925-position model. The record is from RNAcentral. Lineage: Bacteria; Pseudomonadati; Pseudomonadota; Gammaproteobacteria; Pasteurellales; Pasteurellaceae.
UGCGGAACGCGGUCUCGGACAGUGUCUGGUGGGUAGUUUGACUGGGGCGGUCUCCUCCCAAAGAGUAACGGAGGAGCACGAAGGUUUGCUAAUCACGGUCGGACAUCGUGAGGUUAGUGCAAUGGUAUAAGCAAGCUUAACUGCGAGACAGACAAGUCGAGCAGGUGCGAAAGCAGGUCAUAGUGAUCCGGUGGUUCUGAAUGGAAGGGCCAUCGCUCAACGGAUAAAAGGUACUCCGGGGAUAACAGGCUGAUACCGCCCAAGAGUUCAUAUCGACGGCGGUGUUUGGCACCUCGAUGUCGGCUCAUCACAUCCUGGGGCUGAAGUAGGUCCCAAGGGUAUGGCUGUUCGCCAUUUAAAGUGGUACGCGAGCUGGGUUUAGAACGUCGUGAGACAGUUCGGUCCCUAUCUGCCGUGGGCGUUGGAGAAUUGAGAGGGGCUGCUCCUAGUACGAGAGGACCGGAGUGGACGCAUCACUGGUGUUCCAGUUGUCUCGCCAGAGGCAUUGCUGGGUAGCUACAUGCGGAAGAGAUAAGUGCUGAAAGCAUCUAAGCACGAAACUUGCCUCGAGAUGAGUUCUCCCACACUAUAAGUGUGUAAGGGUUGUUGGAGACUACGACGUAGAUAGGCUGGGUGUGUAAGUGUUGUGAGACAUUGAGCUAACCAGUACUAAUUGCCCGAGAGGCUUAACUAU